This 494-nucleotide ribosomal RNA is filed under the name uncultured bacterium. RNAcentral's name for it is "partial 16S ribosomal RNA". It matches the Rfam family "Bacterial small subunit ribosomal RNA", at positions 28 to 507 of the family's 1533-position model. The record is from RNAcentral.
GACGAACGCUGGCGGCGUGCUUAACACAUGCGAGUCGAACGGAAAGGCCUGCUUUCCCUUGUGGAUUGCGGGUACUCGAGUGGCGAACGGGUGAGUAACACGUGAGUGAUCUGCCCCCAACUUGGGUAUAAGCCUGGGAAACUGGGUCUAAUUCCCGAUAGGACUGCAGGGUGGUGCCUGUGGUGGAAAACGAUUUUCUAGUGGUUGGGGAUGAGCUCGCGGCCUAUCAGCUUGUUGGUGGGGUAAUGGCCUACCAAGGCGGCGACGGGUAGCCGGCCUGAGAGGGUGGACGGCCACAUUGGGACUGAGAUACGGCCCAGACUCCUACGGGAGGCAGCAGUGGGGAAUAUGGCACAAUGGGCGGAAGCCUGAUGCAGCGACGCCGCGUGGGGGAUGACGGCCUUCGGGUUGUAAACUCCUUUCGACCGCGAGGAAGCCACCUGGUUGGAAGGGUGGUGACGGUAGUGGUAGAAGAAGCACCGGCUAACUACGUG